Molecule: ribosomal RNA, 788 nt
Filed under: uncultured bacterium
Lineage: Bacteria
Description: bacterial SSU rRNA
Rfam family: Bacterial small subunit ribosomal RNA
Source: RNAcentral
AGAGUUUGAUCCUGGCUCAGGAUGAACGCUAGCGGCAGGCCUAAUACAUGCAAGUCGAACGAUGCUUGUUAGCAAUAACAAGUAUAGUGGCGCACGGGUGCGUAACACGUAUGCAACCUACCUUUAACAGGGGGAUAGCCCGGGGAAACCCGGAUUAAUACCCCGUAUGGUGUGAUAUUGGCAUCUAUAUUACAUUAAAGUUACGAUGGUUAAAGAUGGGCAUGCGUCUGAUUAGUUAGUUGGUGAGGUAACGGCUCACCAAGACGAUGAUCAGUAGGGGACCUGAGAGGGUGAUCCCCCACACUGGCACUGAGAUACGGGCCAGACUCCUACGGGAGGCAGCAGUAGGGAAUAUUGGGCAAUGGUGGAGACACUGACCCAGCCAUGCCGCGUGCAGGAAGACGGCCUUCUGGGUUGUAAACUGCUUUUAACUGGGAAUAAACGACCCUUGCGAGGGGCAUUGAAUGUACCAGAGGAAUAAGCACCGGCUAACUCCGUGCCAGCAGCCGCGGUAAUACGGAGGGUGCAAGCGUUGUCCGGAUUUAUUGGGUUUAAAGGGUGCGUAGGCGGCUUAGUAAGUCAGUGUUUAAAGUCAACAGCUCAACUGUUGGAAUGGCAUUGAUACUGCUGAGCUUGAGUAAAGUUGAGGUAGGCGGAAUUGAUGGUGUAGCGGUGAAAUGCAUAGAUAUCAUCAAGAACAUCGAUUGCGAAGGCAGCUUACUAAGCUUUAACUGACGCUGAGGCACGAAAGCGUGGGGAUCAAACAGGAUUAGAUACCCUAGUAGUCC